CCCUAAACCUAAAGAAAUGAAGUGUCCAUCUAUGAAUCCUGAUGCACUACCUUCAAACAAACUGUAUAUUUCAACAAAUUCAACAUCCUAUCAUUUCUUGGAUCCACAGCUGGUUGAAACUCAUCAACCAAUAAUAGUAAUCACAAAUUCAAUAAAGGAAUUGUAUUCAACGAAGACUACUUGUAUUCUCUCUUCCCUUGUUCGCUGGAAAACAAAUUCCUUGCCGCAUAUUAUCACAAAUAUUCUCCCAAUUCUUUUGGUUGCUCCGCAAAACCCAAUUGCAUCAAACCAAAACUACAAACAAAACAUUUUCAAUUUGGGAUUUUCUUCCGCAUAUUCUCUUAUAAUCCCAUUUCUUCAUCAUCUCCUCGACCAAUUAAUCACAAGACUGCAAUGGAAUAUUCCGCCUUUAAUUUCUGCGUGCGUGUAUGCAUCGUGUAUACCCAGCGAGUUUAAUAAAUAGGGAACAUGAGCGCCCAAAUCUUUUUCCAGAUCAGAUUAGAUUCCAAAAGCCAAAUUCUCCCUACGGAUUUUGUACCCUUUUCGUGUUAAAUUAAUCGGAGCGGUGGAUUCGCACACGGAGAUAACCAAAUAACAAUGAAAUUUGGGAGGGAAUUUGGGAAUCACUUGGAGAAAACCCUACCCGGAUGGAGGGACGAAUAUCUGCGCUACAAGCUUUUGAAGAAGCUGCUGAAUAACAUCUCACCCGCCGCCGGAGUUCUGCCGCUGCCGGAGUUCCAGGUCUGGUUUGUGGCGGUUCUCGCUGGGGAAAUUAGAAAAGUUCAACGAUUUCUACGUCGGCAAGGAGGAGGAUCUCAUCAUCCGCUUCCAGGUAACUAUCU
This 842-nucleotide long non-coding RNA is filed under the name Salvia miltiorrhiza (redroot sage). RNAcentral describes it as "long non-coding RNA (SMIL_LNC010423)". Lineage: Eukaryota; Viridiplantae; Streptophyta; Magnoliopsida; Lamiales; Lamiaceae. The record is from RNAcentral.